RNAcentral lists this ribosomal RNA (820 nucleotides) under Pseudanapis aloha. Its description in RNAcentral is "SSU rRNA". It matches the Rfam family "Eukaryotic small subunit ribosomal RNA", at positions 60 to 878 of the family's 1831-position model. Lineage: Eukaryota; Metazoa; Arthropoda; Arachnida; Araneae; Anapidae. The record is from RNAcentral.
UAAGUACAUGCCGUAUUAAGGCGAAACCGCGAAUGGCUCAUUAAAUCAGUUAUGAUUUUUUGGAUCGUACUCAAUUACUUGGAUAACUGUGGUAAUUCUAGAGCUAAUACAUGCAGCAGAGCUCCGACCUUCGGGAACGAGCGCUUUUAUUAGACCAAAACCAAUCGGGCUUCGGCUCGUUUUGUGUGUUGACUCUGUAUAACUUUGGGCAGAUCGCACGGGCUCGUCCCGGCGACGUAUCUUUCAAGUUUCUGCCUUAUCAACUGUCGAUGGUAGGUUACAUGCCUACCAUGGUCGCUACGGGUGACGGGGGAUCAGGGUUCGAUUCCGGAGAGGGAGCCUGAGAAACGGCUACCACAUCCAAGGAAGGCAGCAGGCACGCAAAUUACCCACUCCCGGCACGGGGAGGUAGUGACGAAAAAUAACAAUACGGGACUCUUUUGAGACCCCGUAAUUGGAAUGAGUUGACUUUAAAUCCUUGAACGAGGAUCAAUUGGAGGCGAAAUCAGGUGCCAGCAACCGCGGUAAAACCUGUUCCAAUAGCUUAUAUUAAUGUUGUUGCGGUUAAAAAGCUCGUAGUUGGAUCUGAGUUCUAGACGGGUGGACCUCCUUCUGGAGAUAUCUGCCCGGGCUGAACAGCCUGCGGGUUUCCCUCGGUGAUCUUGACCGGUUGUCGAUGGGGUUACCCCGCGAGUUUACUUUGAAGAAAUUAGAGUGCUCAAAGCAGGCUAACGCUUGGAUAAUGGUGCAUGGAAUAAUGGAAUAGGACCUAGGUUCUAUUUUGUUGGUUUUCGGAACCAUAGGAAAUGAUUAAGAGAAG